GACGAACGCUGGCGGCGUGCUUAACACAUGCAAGUCGAACGGAAAGGCCCUGCUUUUGUGGGGUGCUCGAGUGGCGAACGGGUGAGUAACACGUGAGUAACCUGCCCUUGACUUUGGGAUAACUUCAGGAAACUGGGGCUAAUACCGGAUAGGAGCUCCUGCUGCAUGGUGGGGGUUGGAAAGUUUCGGCGGUUGGGGAUGGACUCGCGGCUUAUCAGCUUGUUGGUGGGGUAGUGGCUUACCAAGGCUUUGACGGGUAGCCGGCCUGAGAGGGUGACCGGCCACAUUGGGACUGAGAUACGGCCCAGACUCCUACGGGAGGCAGCAGUAGGGAAUAUUGCACAAUGGGCGGAAGCCUGAUGCAGCAACGCCGCGUGCGGGAUGACGGCCUUCGGGUUGUAAACCGCUUUCGCCUGUGACGAAGCGUGAGUGACGGUAAUGGGUAAAGAAGCACCGGCUAACUACGUG
Molecule: ribosomal RNA, 468 nt
Filed under: uncultured bacterium
Lineage: Bacteria
Description: partial 16S ribosomal RNA
Rfam family: Bacterial small subunit ribosomal RNA
Source: RNAcentral